RNAcentral lists this unclassified non-coding RNA (404 nucleotides) under soil metagenome. Its description in RNAcentral is "partial contains 5.8S ribosomal RNA, internal transcribed spacer 2, and large subunit ribosomal RNA". The stretch from base 1 to 122 matches the Rfam family "5.8S ribosomal RNA", at positions 35 to 154 of the family's 154-position model. The record is from RNAcentral.
GAUGAAGAACGCAGCAAAAUGCGAUACUUGGUGUGAAUUGCAGAAUCCCGUGAACCAUCGAGUUUUUGAACGCAAGUUGCGCCCGAAGCCUUUUGGCCGAGGGCACGUCUGCCUGGGCGUCACGCAUCGCGUCGCCCCCCACAAUUCUCCGUAAAGGGAACAUGUGUUUUGGGGGCGGAUAUUGGUCUCCCGUGCUCAUGGCGUGGUUGGCCGAAAUAGGAGUCCUUUCGAUGGACGCACGAACUAGUGGUGGUCGUAAAAACCCUCGUCUUUUGUUUCGUGCUGUUGCUCGCAAGGUAAACUCUCUAAAAACCCCAAUGUGUCGUCUCUUGACGACGCUUCGACCGCGACCCCAGGUCAGGCGGGACUACCCGCUGAGUUUAAGCAUAUCAAUAAGCGGAGGA